RNAcentral lists this ribosomal RNA (1202 nucleotides) under Aster yellows phytoplasma. RNAcentral describes it as "bacterial SSU rRNA". It matches the Rfam family "Bacterial small subunit ribosomal RNA", at positions 186 to 1399 of the family's 1533-position model. Lineage: Bacteria; Bacillati; Mycoplasmatota; Mollicutes; Acholeplasmatales; Acholeplasmataceae. The record is from RNAcentral.
UUUUAAAAGACCUAGCAAUAGGUAUGCUUAGGGAGGAGCUUGCGUCACAUUAGUUAGUUGGUGGGGUAAAGGCCUACCAAGACUAUGAUGUGUAGCCGGGCUGAGAGGUUGAACGGCCACAUUGGGACUGAGACACGGCCCAAACUCCUACGGGAGGCAGCAGUAGGGAAUUUUCGGCAAUGGAGGAAACUCUGACCGAGCAACGCCGCGUGAACGAUGAAGUAUUUCGGUACGUAAAGUUCUUUUAUUAGGGAAAGAAUAAAUGAUGGAAAAAUCAUUGCUGACGGUACCUAAUGAAUAAGCCCCGGCUAACUAUGUGCCAGCAGCCGCGGUAAUACAUAGGGGGCAAGCGUUAUCCGGAAUUAUUGGGCGUAAAGGGUGCGUAGGCGGUUAAAUAAGUUUAUGGUCUAAGUGCAAUGCUCAACAUUGUGAUGCUAUAAAAACUGUUUAGCUAGAGUAAGAUAGAGGCAAGUGGAAUUCCAUGUGUAGUGGUAAAAUGCGUAAAUAUAUGGAGGAACACCAGUAGCGAAGGCGGCUUGCUGGGUCUUUACUGACGCUGAGGCACGAAAGCGUGGGGAGCAAACAGGAUUAGAUACCCUGGUAGUCCACGCCGUAAACGAUGAGUACUAAACGUUGGGUAAAACCAGUGUUGAAGUUAACACAUUAAGUACUCCGCCUGAGUAGUACGUACGCAAGUAUGAAACUUAAAGGAAUUGACGGGACUCCGCACAAGCGGUGGAUCAUGUUGUUUAAUUCGAAGGUACCCGAAAAACCUCACCAGGUCUUGACAUGCUUCUGCAAAGCUGUAGAAACACAGUGGAGGUUAUCAGUUGCACAGGUGGUGCAUGGUUGUCGUCAGCUCGUGUCGUGAGAUGUUGGGUUAAGUCCCGCAACGAGCGCAACCCUUAUUGUUAGUUACCAGCACGUAAUGGUGGGGACUUUAGCAAGACUGCCAGUGAUAAAUUGGAGGAAGGUGGGGACGACGUCAAAUCAUCAUGCCCCUUAUGACCUGGGCUACAAACGUGAUACAAUGGCUGUUACAAAGGGUAGCUGAAGCGCAAGUUUUUGGCGAAUCUCAAAAAAACAGUCUCAGUUCGGAUUGAAGUCUGCAACUCGACUUCAUGAAGUUGGAAUCGCUAGUAAUCGCGAAUCCAGCAUGUCGCGGUGAAUACGUUCUCGGGGUUUGUACACACCGCCCGUCA